CCGAUGGAGUCCACUACCACUGACUGACUGACUGAAGAAAGAUUUAGGGAAGGUUAGCAUUGAUGGGUAGUCAGGGCGGCGGAAGUUCUGUCCCCCACCGUGCCUGUGUGAGACUUGGAUAGGAAAAGAGCUCAUUCUGCAAACAGGCUCAGGAUGGGAAAGAUUCUCUCUAAGCAGUUUCCCACGUGGCCUCACUCUUAAGAAGGAUCCAGAGCCCUUCUAUCACUGAAUGUUAGGUUUUUAGAAACAUUCGGAGCUUGCUGCCAGGUUGGUUCUGUUCUUCGCCACAAUUCCUAGGAGACAAGGAGAAAACGAGGCUAAGAAACCCGGGAACAGAGAAUAAAAGAGCUCGUCCAAGAGGCUGGAAGUGGACACGGAGCCUGAGGAAGAGGACGUGGACGAGCCGGAGGACGACGACGACAUGGAUAGGCGGCUGCUGGACACCAACAGGGCUGGCGAGGGCUCUGUACCUGUGGAGUGGACAGAAGGGGGCUCACUACGGGCC
Rattus rattus (black rat) is the source of this 505-nucleotide long non-coding RNA. RefSeq lists it as uncharacterized. The record is from RefSeq and is a predicted model, not a curated record. The transcript has 3 exons. Lineage: Eukaryota; Metazoa; Chordata; Mammalia; Rodentia; Muridae.